This 414-nucleotide ribosomal RNA is filed under the name uncultured microorganism. RNAcentral describes it as "bacterial SSU rRNA". It matches the Rfam family "Archaeal small subunit ribosomal RNA", at positions 459 to 872 of the family's 1478-position model. The record is from RNAcentral.
CAGCAGCCGCGGUAAUACCGGCGGCCCGAGUGGCGGUCACUAUUAUUGGGCUUAAAGCGUCCGUAGCCGGGUUGGGAAGUCCUCCGGGAAAUCUGGCCGCUUAACGGUCAGAAUGCCGGAGGAUACUCCCAGCCUAGGGAGCGGGAGAGGCCGAGGGUAUUCCCGGAGUAGGGGGGAAAUCCUAUAAUCCCGGGAGGACCACCUGGGGCGAAGGCGCUCGGCUGGAACGCGUCCGACGGGGAGGGACGAAGGCCAGGGGAGCAAACCGGAUUAGAUACCCGGGUAGUCCUGGCUGUAAACGAUGCGGACUUUGUGUCGGACAAGCUAUGAGCUUGUCCGGUGCCGGAGGGAAACCGUUAAGUCCGCCGCCUGGGGAGUACGGCCGCAAGGCUGAAACUUAAAGGAAUUGGCGGG